AGGGACUGCCGAACUUGGGACCGGGAGAGGCUAGAGGUACUCCUGGGGUAGGGGUAAAAUCCUGUAAUCCUAGAAGGACCACCGGUGGCGAAGGCGUCUAGCUAGAACGGAUCCGACGGUGAGGGACGAAGCCCUGGGUCGCAAACGGGAUUAGAUACCCCGGUAGUCCAGGGUGUAAACGCUGCAGACUUGGUGUUGGAGGCCCUUUGGGGGCAUCCAGUGCCGGAGAGAAGUUGUUAAGUCUGCUACUUGGGGAGUACGUCCGCAAGGAUGAAACUUAAAGGAAUUGGCGGGGGAGCACCGCAAAACCGGGGAGGAGCGUGCGGUUUAAUUGGAUUCAACACCGUAAAACUCACCAGGGAAGACUGUUACAUGAAGGCCGGGCUAAAGACUCUGCCAGAUUUUCAGAGAAGAGGUGCAUGG
This 423-nucleotide ribosomal RNA is filed under the name uncultured archaeon. RNAcentral's name for it is "bacterial SSU rRNA". It matches the Rfam family "Archaeal small subunit ribosomal RNA", at positions 579 to 997 of the family's 1478-position model. The record is from RNAcentral.